Molecule: long non-coding RNA, 308 nt
Organism: Saccostrea echinata
Lineage: Eukaryota; Metazoa; Mollusca; Bivalvia; Ostreida; Ostreidae
Exons: 3
Source: RefSeq, a predicted model, not a curated record
ACUGUGAAUGCCCAUUGGAUAACUUCAUAUGACAUCAUUUUGAAACAACCUCUGCACCUCUGUUGUAUGGAUAUAAAUGCAUGCUGUGUAUGUAAAACAUAUGUAAAGUGUUGGUGGCUUAAAAAUCUGAAGACAUCAAUGAGAAGGAACACAAAAACCAUGGUGCAUAAGUUAUGUCCAACAAGUCCUUUAAAAUACAGCUAUGGAUUGGAUUCAGCAGCCAGAGUCACAUGAGCACCAGAUCCUUCUUGCUCCUAUGACAGAGGGUCCUUGACUUGUGUGAAAUUUACUGAAGCAGAUGCUCCAUU